CAGUCGCCACGGUAAUACGUAGGUGGCAAGCGUUGUCCGGAAUUAUUGGGCGUAAAGGGCUCGCGGGCGGUUUCUUAAGUCUGAUGUGAAAGCCCCCGGCUCAACCGGGGAGGGUCAUUGGAAACUGGGAAACUUGAGUGCAGAAGAGGAGAGUGGAAUUCCACGUGUAGCGGUGAAAUGCGUAGAGAUGUGGAGGAACACCAGUGGCGAAGGCGACUCUCUGGUCUGUAACUGACGCUGAGGAGCGAAAGCGUGGGGAGCGAACAGGAUUAGAUACCCCAGUAGUCCCUGUCUCUUAUAC
This 301-nucleotide ribosomal RNA is filed under the name uncultured bacterium. Its description in RNAcentral is "partial 16S ribosomal RNA". It matches the Rfam family "Bacterial small subunit ribosomal RNA", at positions 509 to 807 of the family's 1533-position model. The record is from RNAcentral.